GACGAACGCUGGCGGCGUGCCUAAUACAUGCAAGUAGAACGCUGAAGGAAGGAGCUUGCUCUUUCUGGAUGAGUUGCGAACGGGUGAGUAACGCGUAGGUAACCUGCCUGGUAGCGGGGGAUAACUAUUGGAAACGAUAGCUAAUACCGCAUAAAAUUGAUUAUUGCAUGAUGGUCAAUUAAAAGGUGCAACUGCACCACUACCAGAUGGACCUGCGUUGUAUUAGCUAGUUGGUGGGGUAACGGCUCACCAAGGCGACGAUACAUAGCCGACCUGAGAGGGUGAUCGGCCACACUGGGACUGGGACACGGCCCAGACUCCUACGGGAGGCAGCAGUAGGGCAUCUUCGGCAAUGGACGGAAGUCUGACCGAGCAACGCCGCGUGAGUGAAGAAGGUUUUCGGAUCGUAAAGCUCUGUUGUAAGAGAAGAACGAGUGUGAGAGUGGAAAGUUCACACUGUGACGGUAUCUUACCAGAAGGGGACGGCUAACUACGUG
Molecule: ribosomal RNA, 497 nt
Filed under: uncultured bacterium
Lineage: Bacteria
Description: partial 16S ribosomal RNA
Rfam family: Bacterial small subunit ribosomal RNA
Source: RNAcentral